Molecule: long non-coding RNA, 2445 nt
Organism: Nannospalax galili (Upper Galilee mountains blind mole rat)
Lineage: Eukaryota; Metazoa; Chordata; Mammalia; Rodentia; Spalacidae
Source: Ensembl
UAAAAUAAUCAGGGGGCUGGAGAGAUGGCUCAGCGGUUAAGAGCACUGACUGCUCUUGCAGAGGACCCGGGUUCGAUUCCAGCACCCACUUGGAGGCUCUGAACCAUCCUUAACUCCAGUUCCAGGGAAAUCUGACGCCCUCUUCUGACCUCCAUGGCAUUGCAUGACAUGGGCGCACUCACAUACAUGCAGGCAAUACACUCAUACACAUUAAAUAUAUAUAUACUUCAUAUACUGUUACUCUCACAAAGAAUUUGCCAGUGCUCUCCAAAUACCAUUUUCCAUAUAUAUGAUAAUCAGAUGCUUACCAUAAGAUCAAAUAGGCUUCUUACAAAAUGUAUUGCUAAAGUGUGUUCCUUUUUGAAAGAAAUCUGAGAUUGCAACCCUACCCUGCAGUAUUCUAAGUUGAAGUUAGUCAUUUCAAACUAGAGGAGAGUAGGCCGAUAGUUAUUAGCUAGCAGCAGCCCUAUGCAGUCAGACCUACCCCAGACCUUGCUCUGGUUUUUCUUAAAGGAUUCUUUGCAAACAAGAUACUAUCAGUUUUUCUAAUUUAGCCUUUAUAUUUCAAAUAUAGGGCACAGAGGAUUGGGUUAUUGUAGACAAAAUACCCACUGAGGUAGUUGAUGGUGAUUCGAAAAAGAUUGUGACUUACAAGGUGGUAACGGUGAGCAGUAGAACUGGUGACAUCCCAGCCGACAUGCUAAAGUCUAGCAUUACUGAAAUGCAUAGCUUCCAUGACUUGGCCCAAGAAAUGCAACUGAAGGAAGAGAACAAACAGAAGAUAUACACUCUAGGAAAAUCCUAUGACACCGUCUCUGGGAGAAUCGUUACUAUGACUGGAAAAGUUAAGGAGGGGGAGAAAGUAGCACAGCCUUCCAUGCUGGAAGCUCUGCAGAAGAUGGAGAGAAGCCGGGCAGAAGCAGGGAAGGUUGGUCCCCUCUUGGCAGAAUAUGAGGUUCUGGAAGCCCUGGCUGAUGAGAAAUCCAGGAGAGGACCCGAGAUCCAGGCCCCGAAGCGGAGGUUGUCAGAAUCCCUGGCUCCCAUCAAGGAAGCUGAGUCUCGUCGGCAGAGCCCCGAAGAAGAUGACCUCCAGAAGGCGCCAAAGCUGGGGCAGGAUGUGUCUGCCCACCCUGGCCCAGAGAGCAUGCGAUUCAGCAAAAGCGAACAAAUGCCAGAGAGUGAGGUCUUAAAGGUGGGGCUGUUUGGUCCCCGGAGGAAGAGUCUGUCUGAAUGGCGGUACACCCAGGAACCGGCCUUUACUGUAGCAACUGCUCAUUACAUCACUGAGUCCUCAACAUCUCAAGUGGUGACUAAGCAAUCUUCUGGGGAAAAGCUCAUGGAUGGCUCCGAGAUCCUCAGUUUAUUAGAGUCUGCACGAAAGCCAACAGAAUUCAUAGGAGGGGUUUCGUCCACUUCCCAAAGCUGGGUGCAGAAAGUGGAAACGAAGACAGAGUCCAGUGAAACAGAGACAGAAACGACCCCUCACCACCAGCCCCUCAGCACUGAGAAGGUGGUGCAGGAAACUUUGUUGGUGGAAGAGAGGCGCGUGAUGAACGUGCAUGCCAGUGGAGAUGCUUCUCACACAGCAGGGGAUGACAUGGAUGCUGCAGCACAGUCCACAGCACCAGCAGGCGCUUCCAGUAUGAAAGGGAAGGAGGACUCUUCUCUGACGGAAGCAGUUAAGGAGGAAAGAGGGGAGGAGGCUGCGAAGUCUGUCCCUGAGCAGGAAGGGACAGCCACGGCCUCCCACAAGGAGGAGCAGGCGGCAGGUAUACCAGCUUCUGAGGCUUUGGAACAAAAGUCUCAUUUUGAGGUAACUAGUAAUUAAUAUUAACAUGGUAUGAAGCCCUGAAAUUUAGAUCAGUGUAAAGAUGGAGCUAUAUAUAAUUAUACCUUUUCCAUGAAUGCAGUUUGGUUUUCCUCUUAUUUUUUAAGGGUCACCAUGUUUGUUUCCACAUUUGGAAUCAUAUACAAACAUAUACUGAUCAUUAAUAAUGUAAAGUUCCAAGAGUUGGUUUCUGUCAUUGAGAUUUUGACUGACAGAAAACAUGAGAAACCCAUGAUUAGCCAAGAUAUUAGAAAACAUGAGGGCAGCUGGGCAUGGUGGCGCACACCUUUAAUCCCAGCACUCGGGAAGCAGAGGCAGGUGGAUCUCUGUGUUCAAGGCCAGCCUGGUCUACAUAGUGAGUUCCAGAUCAGCUGGGACUACAGGGAGACCCUGUCUCAAAAAGAGAGAGAAAAAAAAAAAGAAAAUAUGAGGGCAGGUGAGAUGACUCAGUGGGUAAAUGUGCUUGCUGCAUAAGCCUGAUGGCCUGAGUUCAAGCCCUGAAACUCACAGUGGAAGGAGAGAACCAACUCCUGAAAGCUGUCCUCUGGCCUCCACACUCACACAUUCUCUCUCUCUCUCUCUCUUUAUCUUCUCUCUCUCCCUUUCUCUUCUCUCUC